AAAUAAAACGAAGUUAUAUAAACUAAAUUAUUUCAUCUUUUCUUCUAUUUUCAUACUUGGUUCUCAUAUUUGUAUUACGACAGUUCUAUUAGUAUUCUGUUUGUUUUAAGAUCAGUCUGCAGGUGACGUUUGGAUUGGAGCACACGAUUUUUACGCGAGGGACGUUUUGUAUGGGAAGUUGACAAUACAUCACUUACAUAUACUGACUGGUAUCCUGGUGAACCAAACAACUCUAAUAACAAGGAAGACUGCGCAUGUCUGAAUUCUGAUGUAGAAUACAAAUGGAACGAUAAUUAAUGUUCACAGA
Molecule: long non-coding RNA, 307 nt
Filed under: Mytilus galloprovincialis (Mediterranean mussel)
Lineage: Eukaryota; Metazoa; Mollusca; Bivalvia; Mytilida; Mytilidae
Source: RNAcentral